This is a long non-coding RNA of Gigantopelta aegis, 864 nucleotides long. RefSeq lists it as uncharacterized. The transcript is spliced from 2 exons. The record is from RefSeq and is a predicted model, not a curated record. NCBI's taxonomy places the organism in Eukaryota, Metazoa, Mollusca, Gastropoda, Neomphalida, Peltospiridae.
UUUAUUUGUUGGGUAUCACAGGUAAAUGCAUUUAAACUACUUUCCGUUAAGUGUUACCCAAGUGAAAAUCAUGUUGAUAAAAUUCCGGUUAUCAAAGAUUUUGAAAUAUUAUCCAGUUUGGUCAAGAGGAAGUCUGCUUCUAAAAAUCCACAAUUACCUAAACACAAAAACUAAUGCUGAACUAAAUUCAUGAGUUGACAGUGAUGUCUGUGUUGUCAGAUGACCACAGAUUAGUUAUCUUCCCAUCUGGUUGACCAAAAUCCUGAAAUAUAUCCAUAAAAGUAGUCCGUUGUUUGACUGUGAUAAUUUCAUGGCAGACAUCUUGUAGUGACAACUAUUAAACUGAAGUUAAUGUAGUUUGCAAACAUGUUACUUGUUAACACUGAAGAGUUUUUUGUGGUAAUUUCAGCCUAUACAAAUGUAGUGCUUUUUUGUGUAAAAUGGGUGCACUCCAGCCAGGUUUAGUGGAUUUGUUUAAACCAAUAUACUGGGAAAAGAGCUGGACAAUAGGGGUUGUCCUUUUCGGGGUAUGUUGCCCUCAGGCUGGUAAAGGUAGAUACAAAAAUCCAUGGGCCUACAGAUAUUAAUGAAAGUGCUAUAUCCACCCCCACCCCCAACACAAUAUAGAAACAUAUAGCAUAAUACAUUAAAUAAUUGUGGUCUGUGGCCAAAAACAUAAUGCCUACAGGAAUAUCUCACCUUUCAACUUUGUCAAGGUCAAACAACCAGUAUAUUUCUGCCAGUUGUUGUAAUGACACUAACUGUCUCUUCUAUAUAAUAUAUCCUCAUUUGAAUGGAUAACAAAUUGUAGUAUGUGAUUUAUGUAUUGAGAUUUGCAUCAGUGAUUAAAGACUGAAUUCAAAA